Molecule: ribosomal RNA, 449 nt
Filed under: uncultured bacterium
Lineage: Bacteria
Description: partial 16S ribosomal RNA
Rfam family: Bacterial small subunit ribosomal RNA
Source: RNAcentral
AAUGAACGCUGGCGGCAGGCCUAACACAUGCAAGUCGAACGGAUCCUUCGGGAUUAGUGGCGGACGGGUGAGUAACGCUUGGGAACAUACCCUUUGGUACGGAAUAGCCUCGGGAAACUGGGAGUAAUACCGUAUGUGGUCGAGAGACGAAAGAUUUAUCGCCAAAGGAUUGGCCCGCGUUGGAUUAGGUAGUUGGUGGGGCAAUGGCCUACCAAGCCGACGAUCCAUAGCUGGUUUGAGAGGAUGAUCAGCCACACUGGGACUGAGACACGGCCCAGACUCCUACGGGAGGCAGCAGUGGGGAAUCUUAGACAAUGGGGGAAACCCUGAUCUAGCCAUGCCGCGUGAUCGAUGAAGGCCUUAGGGUUGUAAAGAUCUUUCAGGUGGGAAGAUAAUGACUGUACCACCAGAAGAAGCCCCGGCUAACUCCGUGCCAGCAGCCGCCGUAA